CACAUUUGAAGAGGAAAGAAAGACUUGAAAAAGAUAAAAUUACAUAUCUAAACCUGAUAGCUUUUUUUGAGUAGUCAUGUUAGUUAUAAAUAUAAAGUUUCCACUGUCUAUAGUAGUGGCAACAGAUCCAGUUUGCGAGUUUGUUUGGUUUCGUUUCCCCAUUGGGUUGGUGUUGCUGGAUCUUCGCCCUGUUGCAUCGCGUUGUGCAGUUUGGGUUUGCUCUCAGGUUGUCACGCUUUGCCUUGUGCUGGAUCUGUUGCUUUGUUUGGACGGUUCGACUCGUAAGA
Molecule: long non-coding RNA, 287 nt
Filed under: Trifolium pratense (red clover)
Lineage: Eukaryota; Viridiplantae; Streptophyta; Magnoliopsida; Fabales; Fabaceae
Description: long non-coding RNA (TPRA_LNC000226)
Source: RNAcentral